CCAAAGGCUCUUUUCAGAGCCACUCACAAAAUCAAAAAAGGGCAC
Molecule: regulatory RNA element, 45 nt
Organism: Pelodiscus sinensis (Chinese soft-shelled turtle)
Lineage: Eukaryota; Metazoa; Chordata; Testudines; Trionychidae
Rfam family: Histone 3' UTR stem-loop
About the family: The mRNAs of metazoan histone genes lack a poly-A tail.
Source: Rfam